This 492-nucleotide ribosomal RNA is filed under the name uncultured bacterium. RNAcentral's name for it is "partial 16S ribosomal RNA". It matches the Rfam family "Bacterial small subunit ribosomal RNA", at positions 29 to 507 of the family's 1533-position model. The record is from RNAcentral.
AGUGAACGCUGGCGGUAGGCCUAACACAUGCAAGUCGAACGGCAGCACAGUAAGAGCUUGCUCUUACGGGUGGCGAGUGGCGGACGGGUGAGGAAUACAUCGGAAUCUACUUUUUCGUGGGGGAUAACGUAGGGAAACUUACGCUAAUACCGCAUACGACCUACGGGUGAAGGCAGGGGAUCUUCGGACCUUGCGCGAUUGAAUGAGCCGAUGUCGGAUUAGCUAGUUGGCGGGGUAAAGGCCCACCAAGGCGACGAUCCGUAGCUGGUCUGAGAGGAUGAUCAGCCACACUGGAACUGAGACACGGUCCAGACUCCUACGGGAGGCAGCAGUGGGGAAUAUUGGACAAUGGGCGCAAGCCUGAUCCAGCCAUACCGCGUGGGUGAAGAAGGCCUUCGGGUUGUAAAGCCCUUUUGUUGGGAAAGAAAAGCAGCAGGUUAAUACCCCGCUGUUCUGACGGUACCCAAAGAAUAGGCACCGGCUAACUUCGUG